Molecule: ribosomal RNA, 253 nt
Filed under: uncultured bacterium
Lineage: Bacteria
Description: partial 16S ribosomal RNA
Rfam family: Bacterial small subunit ribosomal RNA
Source: RNAcentral
GACGGAGGGUGCAAGCGUUGUUCGGAAUUACUGGGCGUAAAGCGUACGUAGGCGGCGGGUUAAGUCGAAUGUUAAAGCCUGGGGCUCAACCCCAGAGAUGCAUUCGAUACUGGCCUGCUAGAGGGCGAUAGAGGAAAGUGGAAUUCCCAGUGUAGCGGUGAAAUGCGUAGAUAUUGGGAGGAACAUCAGUAGCGAAGGCGACUUUCUGGGUCGCACCUGACGCUGAGGUACGAAAGCGUGGGGAGCAAACGGG